AUGGAUUUAAGGGCAUUAAGGGAGUCACAAUGGUUAGUCAGAUAUCCAUGUAGUAUUUAUUUUUGGUCUAUGGGAAAUGAUUUUUUUUUUUUUUCAGCUCACUCAACGGUCUCAUACAGAGCUGGAGGCAUUCAUACAUGCAGUUCCUGUGUUGUCAUUCUGGACUUGCAUAGAGGGGACUGUGGCUUUCAGCUGGAUGUUGUAGAUACAAGGCCACAUUCUGCUUUGGCAUCGCUGCUGAUGUGCUCCCUCCCACUUUCCCAGGCUAAUAAAUGAACAGGCAAACAAACCUAUACAAGCCAUGGUUACUUUCAAGGAAAUCUACUUUAGAUUUGAUUCAUAGAAAAAUGCAAGUGAUGCGUGCCACUGAUUUGGGUCAUCUGCACGCAAUUCAAAAGGAAAAGGUGAUUUUUUUCAUUGCCUGCCAAGUAAGUGGGAGAGGUGUAGGUAAAAGUGGAUUUAUGCAUAAAACGCAAAACUCCAGAUGAAAGAAUGGACCUCUUUUAUCAUCGUAGAAAGAAUCCAUCUGCAAUAAUUACCAGUCAGGCUAUCUGCACCCUAUGUUACUUCAUGACAUCUGAGAACUGCUGCGCUCCCUGAACCAAUAGCCGUUAUAUAGCAACCAGCAUCACUCCUGAAUGAAAAAAUUGGCCCAGCCACUGGUGAAUGGCACUCAGUAGGUUUCCCAUUGAACUGUGCUGCGAAACAAUGAUGCACAUUGGUAAAUCACUCUGUGUGCCUUUCAGUUCUUAUGCAUAUCCCGUACUGGACAGCUUCCAUUCACUCCGGCACCCACUGCAAACAAAUGUAACUAUGCAUCAAAGAUGAAAGUGAAAAUGCGUAUGUUAAAUCCCAAAUGGAAGCACAGGGGUGUAAUAUAUACAUAGUUGCUUAGCAACAAACAUGUUUUGGCCACAGGAACUGUGACAUCAGUCAGAGAAGCGGGAGGGAAGCUGCUCUGCCCUUCUUCUCUUCCUCCCUUCAUAAAG
Molecule: long non-coding RNA, 989 nt
Filed under: Coturnix japonica (Japanese quail)
Lineage: Eukaryota; Metazoa; Chordata; Aves; Galliformes; Phasianidae
Description: lncRNA (ENSCJPG00005012454.1)
Source: RNAcentral